UCUCCGUUGGUGAACCAGCGGAGGGAUCAUUAUCGAGUUUACAACUCCCAAACCCCUGUGAACAUACCAUUUGUUGCCUCGGCGGUGCCUGCUUCGGCAGCCCGCCAGAGGACCCAAACCCUUGAUUUUAUACAGUAUCUUCUGAGUAAAUGAUUAAAUAAAUCAAAACUUUCAACAACGGAUCUCUUGGUUCUG
RNAcentral lists this unclassified non-coding RNA (195 nucleotides) under plant metagenome. Its description in RNAcentral is "partial contains small subunit ribosomal RNA, internal transcribed spacer 1, and 5.8S ribosomal RNA". The record is from RNAcentral.